Long non-coding RNA from Malus domestica (apple), 1049 nucleotides. RefSeq lists it as uncharacterized. Lineage: Eukaryota; Viridiplantae; Streptophyta; Magnoliopsida; Rosales; Rosaceae. The record is from RefSeq and is a predicted model, not a curated record.
UUAGAUACGCUAAUGUCGUUUUUACCCUUAAGUUAGUGUCAUUUUGGCUACGCUAUUAACACUAGAAGAGUUUUCUUCCCCCCGUGCCUCCUUCACUCAAUCACUGUGUCUCUCAGCCAUCACUCCCUCACCCGUCACUGCCGUUCUCUAAUCUCUCUCAAUGCGCCUCCUCACCUUGUCUCUCAGUCAGCCAUCACUUCACUCUCACAGCUGGGAGCCCCGCAGCCUUGAAGCCAUGUAACCUCUUAGCCUUGCAGCGCCUCGCAGCCCCACAACCCCGUCGUCGAGCACUUGCCCACCUCACUGUCUUGACAAUCGACAACUGUCACAAAGAUGAAGUCAAAUGCAUUAAAGGCCACAAGCUCAAGCUCAAACUCAAUGAGAUCAAAAUCAUCAAAUAGCUCUCGUGAAAAAACUAAAUUCAUCUACUUCUACUCCAUCGUAAAAGGACAUUGUUUGUGAAUCAACUCCACCUCAACUCUUCAUGGUGGCACCUCAACAAGUUCCCUCAUCCUCAUGGUGGAUCCAAAAAUUCCUCCGAUGCAACUCUAAAAGAAGGUGGCUCAAGUGAUCAAGUAAGUAAAGAAGCUUUCUUGGAUUCACUAAAAAAUCAUGAAAGGUCUACAAUUUGGGAGCACUUUGAUAGAAUAAUUGAGGGAGAUAGAGUUAAGAGGUGUGCAAGUAUUGAAAUAAACCAUUUAUGGCCGACCCGGAUGAAAAUGGUACAACUAGUAUAAGAAAUCAAUUGGCAAGAUGUAGAAGCUACGGUCCUAAUAAGGAAAUAUUUUUCGCAAAUAGGCAAAAUAUCUUAACUUUUGCCUGCACGAAAGAUAAGUUGGAAGCUAUAAGUUUUUCUUAAGUGGAAGUUACUAAGACUUGUGUUGAGAUGAUAAUUAUAGACGAGUUACUUUUUUCUUUCGUCGAGGGAGAUGAUUUUCGUAAUUUUUGCAUGCAUGUCCUUUGUGGAGAGUGCUUAGUCGUAAGACAAUAGCUAAUGAUGUACUUGACUUGUUUUAUUCUGAAAAAGGAGAAAUUGAAAAGUCAGUUGA